Molecule: ribosomal RNA, 914 nt
Filed under: Lingulaulax polyedra
Lineage: Eukaryota; Dinophyceae; Gonyaulacales; Lingulodiniaceae
Description: Lingulodinium polyedra partial Bacterial large subunit ribosomal RNA
Rfam family: Bacterial large subunit ribosomal RNA
Source: RNAcentral
CAGGUGAUCAGGUAGAGAAUACCAAGGCGCUUGAGAGAACUUGGGUGAAGGAACUAGGCAAAAUGGUACCGUAACUUCGGGAGAAGGUACGCUCCUUUUGGUGAUCGGACUUGCUCCGUAAGCUGAGGGGAGUCGAAGUGACCAGGUGGCUGCAACUGUUUACUAAAAACAUAGCACUCUGCAAACUCGUGAGAGGAAGUAUAGGGUGUGACGCCUGCCCGGUGCCGGAAGGUUAAGUGAUGGGGUUAGCUUCGGCGAAGCUCUUGAUCGAAGCCCCGGUAAACGGCGGCCGUAACAAUAACGGUCCUAAGGUAGCGAAAUUCCUUGUCGGGUAAGUUCCGACCUGCACGAAUGGCGUAACGACUUCCCCACUGUCUCCAGGAUAUGCUCAGCGAAAUUGAAUUCUCCGUGAAGAUGCGGAGUACCCGCGGUUAGACGGAAAGACCCCGUGCACCUUUACUGCAGCUUCAGAGUGGCAUUAGGAAAGAGUUGUGUAGCAUAGGUGGGAGGCUUUGAAUCUUGGGCGCCAGUCCAAGGGGAGCCAUAGGUGAAAUACCACCCUGCUGUUUUCUGAUGUCUAACCAACUACCGUUAUCCGGUAGUGGGACCCUCUGUGGCGGGUAGUUUGACUGGGGCGGUCGCCUCCUAAAGAGUAACGGAGGCGCGCGAUGGUAGGCUCAGGCCGGUUGGAAACCGGCUGCGAGAGUGCAAUGGCAUAAGCCUGCCUGACUGCGAGGCCGACGGGCCGAGCAGAGACGAAAGUCGGUCAUAGUGAUCCGGUGGUCCCGAGUGGAAGGGCCAUCGCUCAACGGAUAAAAGGUACGCCGGGGAUAACAGGCUGAUACUCCCCAAGAGUCCACAUCGACGGGAGUGUUUGGCACCUCGAUGUCGGCUGAUCACAUCCUGGGGCUGGA